RNAcentral lists this ribosomal RNA (253 nucleotides) under uncultured bacterium. RNAcentral describes it as "partial 16S ribosomal RNA". It matches the Rfam family "Bacterial small subunit ribosomal RNA", at positions 524 to 776 of the family's 1533-position model. RNAcentral also lists the same sequence under 1 other name. The record is from RNAcentral.
UACGAAGGGGGCUAGCGUUGCUCGGAAUGACUGGGCGUAAAGGGCGCGUAGGCGGCUCUCAUCGUCGGGCGUGAAAUUCCUGGGCUUAACCUGGGGGCUGCGUUCGAUACGUGGGGGCUUGAGUGUGGGAGAGGGUCGUGGAAUUCCCAGUGUAGAGGUGAAAUUCGUAGAUAUUGGGAAGAACACCGGUGGCGAAGGCGGCGACCUGGUCCAUGACUGACGCUGAGGCGCGAAAGCGUGGGGAGCAAACAGG